Molecule: long non-coding RNA, 1867 nt
Filed under: Equus asinus (donkey)
Lineage: Eukaryota; Metazoa; Chordata; Mammalia; Perissodactyla; Equidae
Description: lncRNA (ENSEASG00005026529.1)
Source: RNAcentral
GGGCUGCCCCACGUCCAUCGCACCAGGACGCUGCCGCGGCUGCUGGAUUGUGGUGCUGGCAGAGAGCGUCCUCCUCUUCGGUCGAUUUGGCUAAUGGCUCUUCAGAGAGGUGCUUACGACUGCUUCUGUAAACACAGACGUCAGGUGCCCCGUUUCCUCAUGGCCUAGACCUCCUCCUCCAUCCAUCGCCAGAAACCUGCUGGAACCCGGGGUGAUGAAACCUCUGAGCCAUCUCAGCUCCCACUAACUCACUGGUGCUGAUUGACCGGAAAGGCCGGCUUCUCCCUUUGAGGCUAUUUCUGUAAAGUUCACCAAUGAAUCACACAUAUCAAACAAAUGGCCGCGGAGUCUCCUCGACAGGGAGACAAAAGCUACCCAGGCAGGAGCAGACGUGCUGUUCCCUGAGAAGUCGGUAGAAAGUUGCACAAAGCUUUCCACGCUGUGCAGGGCUGCUCCUGGAGUGGUGCACGGAAGGCUCUAGUUUACCAAACUGUCUGAGGUGGCCUUCUGGUCUGAGCUCCUCCCAAGGGAGCGCCUGUGUUGCUCCCCUCCACCCUCCCUCCCCUUCCUCCCAGCCCUCUGGGCUCAGAGGCCUCCAAGAGCAAGAGGCAUGUAGAAUAAGAAACAACUACCUCAAGAUUUUGUAAUUAAAUAAUUAGACCAAUUACUCAUAUAAAGUGAAUAAUUUACUUUCAUCCGAAUUAUCCAAAUGCUUUGCAUUCAAUGUUUUUUUUUUAAUUUUUGUUUUUAUGGCAGUAACAUUGGAUUAUAACAUUAUUUAACUUUCAGAAGUACAUCAUAAUAUAUUUUGAAUUCUGUGUAGAUUACGUCAUGUUCACCACCCAAAGACUAAUUAUAAUCCAUCACCACACGUGUGAGCCUAAUCACCCCUUUUGCCCUCCACCCUCCCCCCUUCCCCUCUGGUAACCAUCAAUCCAAUCUCUGUUGCUAUGUGUGUGUUUGUUGUUGUUUUUAUCUUCUACUUGUGAGUGAGAUCAUAUGGUAUUUGACUUUCUCCCUCUGACUUAUUCCACUUAGCAUAGUACCCUCAAGUGGUAUGCAUAAUUCCCUCAAGGUCCAUCCAUGUUGUCACAAAUGGCUGGAUUUCAUCCUUUCUUAUGGCUGAGUAGUAUUCCAUUGUGUAUAAAUACCACAUCUUCUUUAUCCAUUCCUCCCUCGAUGGGCACCUAGGUUUUCUUUUUAUAACUUCAAUUAUAUGAAUCCUUGGCUCAAGUAAUUUUGGGUGAGUAGGGAUUGCCUAAAUUUUUAAAUGUAAUAGGUCCAACAUAGAAGUAUUUGAUCUGACAUCCUGCACUAAGUGAAUUUCAAGCUCCUCCCGGGAAUAUAUGGAAUGAAGAGAAAAGGGCUCGCUGUCGUCUGGAGCAGUUCAGCCCUGUCCUCACUGGACUGUGUUAGCACGUGUUUUUGCAUAAGAUCAGCUAAUAUCCUUCUAUGCCUGUAAUGACUUAUGUUUUUAGACAUGAUCAUUUCUUUGAUUAUUGUUAUCUUCUUAGCACAGUGGUGGGCAUGUCUGUGGCACUCAGUCAAAAUGUACUGGAGAUUGGUUUAAAAAGUAUGAUAUUCUACUAGGUGGAUUAAAUAAAUACCAGCUUCUCUUACUGCCUACUAGUAAUAAUAGCAUGAUGUAUGAUCAUGGAACAGUAACAGUAAGACUUGGUUUGUGAUGGGCUUUCUCAAAAAUAAGCAAAUAAUGGGCCAUUUUAAAAGCCUCAAACACAUUAAAGGCAUCUGUUUCUUAAUUGCCCUGAAAAUCCCUCUCAGUCCGGGUGUUGUAAGUGGGGCUUCCCUAAAAAUGUGCAAGAGUUCAAAACUGACCACAAAUGAGCCAAAGCAGAGUAAAGUAGAA